This 253-nucleotide ribosomal RNA is filed under the name uncultured bacterium. RNAcentral describes it as "partial 16S ribosomal RNA". It matches the Rfam family "Bacterial small subunit ribosomal RNA", at positions 524 to 776 of the family's 1533-position model. The record is from RNAcentral.
UACGUAGGGAGCAAGCGUUGUCCGGAAUCAUUGGGCGUAAAGCGCGCGUAGGCGGCCCUGUAAGUCCGUUGUGAAAGUCAAAGGCUCAACCUUUGAAAGCCGAUGGAUACUGCAGGGCUAGAGUCCGGAAGAGGAGAGUGGAAUUCCUGGUGUAGCGGUGAAAUGCGCAGAUAUCAGGAAGAACACCCGUGGCGAAGGCGGCUCUCUGGUACGGAACUGACGCUGAGACGCGAAAGCGUGGGGAGCGAACAGG